This 253-nucleotide ribosomal RNA is filed under the name uncultured bacterium. RNAcentral describes it as "partial 16S ribosomal RNA". It matches the Rfam family "Bacterial small subunit ribosomal RNA", at positions 524 to 776 of the family's 1533-position model. The record is from RNAcentral.
UACAGAGGUGGCAAGCGUUGUUCGGAAUUACUGGGCGUAAAGGGCGCGUAGGCGGCCUUCUAAGUCAGACGUGAAAUCCCCCGGCUUAACCUGGGAACUGCGUCUGAUACUGGGAGGCUUGAGUAUGGGAGAGGGAUGUAGAAUUCCAGGUGUAGCGGUGAAAUGCGUAGAGAUUUGGAGGAACACCAGUGGCGAAGGCGACUUUCUGGUCUGUAACUGACACUGAGGCGCGAAAGCGUGGGGAGCAAACAGG